This 253-nucleotide ribosomal RNA is filed under the name uncultured bacterium. RNAcentral's name for it is "partial 16S ribosomal RNA". It matches the Rfam family "Bacterial small subunit ribosomal RNA", at positions 524 to 776 of the family's 1533-position model. The record is from RNAcentral.
UACGUAGGGACCAAGCGUUGUUCGGAUUUACUGGGCGUAAAGGGCGCGUAGGCGGCAAUUCAAGUCAUCUGUGAAAUCUCCGGGCUUAACUCGGAACGGUCAGGUGAUACUGCUUUGCUAGAGUGCGGAAGGGGCAAUCGGAAUUCUUGGUGUAGCGGUGAAAUGCGUAGAUAUCUGGAGGAACACCGGUGGCGAAGGCGGCAUCCUGGACCGACACUGACGCUGAGGAGCGAAAGCCAGGGGAGCAAACGGG